Molecule: long non-coding RNA, 1419 nt
Organism: Olea europaea var. sylvestris
Lineage: Eukaryota; Viridiplantae; Streptophyta; Magnoliopsida; Lamiales; Oleaceae
Exons: 3
Source: RefSeq, a predicted model, not a curated record
ACGACUAAACUAAGAAAUGGCACUUGGAUUAAAGGCUUAUGUUGAUUUCCUAGUGUCCUUUGGGUAGAGUCAUAAGCAUUGCAUUUACCACGAGUUACGUAAAUGUUUAAUAAUAGGAAUUAUACUAUUAUGUAUUAAUGACAUAAGCUCUAAAGCUGGAAUCAAUGGUUAAGUGCUAAUACCUCGAGAAAAAAUAAAUCAGAGAGGUGGAAUGCACGAAAACCAUCAUUUAGAAGCUUUAUGAACUUAGAAGUUGAAAGAAAUCUAUUUAACUUGAUUUUUGAUUUUUGUGCAUAAGCAUGGGUGCAUAAAAAAUGCCUCCUUGAGGCUUGCCUUGAUCUCAAAGGUGAACACUUUCGAGAAUUCACCCCAACUUGACUAUCUCUCUCCAAAAAGUUGCCUUACAGAUGCCUUCUGUUGUCACUGUAAGUCUGUAAAGAAUAAUUUUGCACGUGGCAUACACAUUUUAGUCGUACAGAUAGAAUUUUUGGAAGUUAAUCAGUCACCAUGACCGUUUGCAAUUUUAUCAUUUGCAAUGAUCUACAUUUGGAAGUAUUUUGUGGUGCCUUUUGGGAAUUUAUCUUGACAGAUCACUUUUAUACCUUUUUGCCUCACCUAAGCAAAAUCCAUUGAAAAUACUCGAGUGUAGACUUUGUGAUAACAUAGGUCUUUUAUGUAAAAAUCAGAUAUCUGACCAUGUGAUGCAUCAAUGACAUAGACUACAGUCCAAAGAAACAGUUGUCAGAUUUUCUUCACUGCUCUUAGUAAAAGGUUGAUUCAUUUUUUCUCAAAACCUAAGCUCUGGUCCACUUCUUAUUGAAAGCAUUUGCUUAAAGUUGCUCGCCUUCUACUUGAGCUUCAGAACUACAGUGGAGUGCAAAAUUUUCUUAGAAACCAUCCAAUGAAUGAGUCAAAUUUCGCAUACAUCUAUGUUAAGAUAAAUAUUGAAGGCAGUACUAUUUUCAAGCAUCUGGUUUGAAAUGAAUAAUUUACUUGCCAAAGCUUGUCAUUGUCAGGAAUGGAUUUAAGGGGUGACCUAGGCCAGCCCAAGGCCCAUUUAAUUUUUCUCCUUAACUUCAUUUUUAUGUAAUACUUUUUAAAAUAUCAGCCCAGCUUAAAUGAAAUUUAUUGCAGCCUGGCUUUGCCCCUGGUCAUGUCCUUUUGGUUUUGGACUUCAGCUGUAUGCUACUAGGUCUUUCGAGGCAUUGUUUCUUUUCUUAUGUUUAUGUUUCCAUUUUGGCAGGUUAUUAUACCAAUUGGAGACAUAGAUGAGAUGAGGAGAAGCCAGCAUGCAUUUAUCAAUCCAGCUAUUACAAUAAUUCUUCGAAUGGGUGCUGGUGGACAUGGCGUGCCUCCUUUAGGAAAUCCUGAUGGUCGUGUCAGAUAUAUGUUUGCAUCAUUCUGGAACAGAAAUAAUGC